UACGUAGGGCGCGAGCGUUAUCCGGAAUUAUUGGGCGUAAAGAGCUCGUAGGCGGUUUGCCACGUCUGCUGUGAAAGCCCGGGGCUUAACUCCGGGUUUGCAGUGGGUACGGGCAGACUGGAGUGCAGUAGGGGAGACUGGAAUUCCUGGUGUAGCGGUGAAAUGCGCAGAUAUCAGGAGGAACACCGAUGGCGAAGGCAGGUCUCUGGGCUGUUACUGACGCUGAGGAGCGAAAGCAUGGGGAGCGAACAGG
RNAcentral lists this unclassified non-coding RNA (253 nucleotides) under uncultured Micrococcaceae bacterium. Its description in RNAcentral is "contains 16S-23S intergenic spacer region". It matches the Rfam family "Bacterial small subunit ribosomal RNA", at positions 524 to 776 of the family's 1533-position model. The record is from RNAcentral. Lineage: Bacteria; Bacillati; Actinomycetota; Actinomycetes; Micrococcales; Micrococcaceae.